CUUCCAAUAUACAAAUCCAUUGGUGCUGAGUUCCAGGGGUCGAAUGUAGUUUUAAGUUGUAAUAUUAUCACUCACUGCUAGAUGGCAGAAAUGUCUUUAUUACACUUACACUAGGUCUUAGAUUGCGAUUUCGCCCAACAUGGUGUCCGCCUUACAUAAUUACAUGGAUGAUUCCGUUCAUUUUAAUUCCAUGAGCGCGAUAUUCUUCAGAGUUCCCCUUUAGGCGAAGGUUCGAAUUAGCACCCAAUGCUAAGUGGCACGUGGGUAUUUUCACAAACGGUUAACCCGCAAAAAAUUUAGCACGUCGUCAUUUGAAACUAGUCCAAGUGUAACAAUUCCAAACCUUAUGGGUGUCAAUUACCCGCAUAUUUUUGCUAUUUUUCAACAGGGCUCAGGAUUCCUAUCCUUUCAGCGGAAUCCUACUAGUAGUGCAUCGAUCUGUUUUCUCUCCUACUUACAGUUCAGUUCAGCAUGUACUACUACUCCAUAAGUGGCUUCCUACUCCUAUUAUUAAUAUUGGAGGGAAAAAACCACUUUACAUAGUACAAUAUGUAUGAAGUAGUGCCCUUCAAUUAUUUAAUAUGUGAUAAACAAACAGCAGCGAGAACCCAGUGAAUAAAUUUGUUGUUCACAUACAAGCCAGUGUUUAUAUUGAUUAAAAUGAAAUGACUCCUGACGUGCCUCAUCCACCCACUUUACUAUCAUCAAGGGUAUUCUCGUAUGCAUCCUCCAUUAAACAGUCGCUUUGUAGAGACGUUUUCAUCGAGGGAGCCGCAGCAACGCGCAAGACUGUGUUUUGUUUUGAAUGGGUAAUAUAUUUCAGCCUUUCUAUCAAUAAAGUUGCCAUUUUGGCGAAGGUGGGGAAAAAUAGGGGGGCUUAUAGAACACCUUGAUUUAGUGCCGGAUUGAAUCAGAGCUGCGGCUGCCAUACCCUCAGUAACGAAGCGGCAAUUUGUGUUUUUUUUUUUCAAUAGCAGCAAGCGCCUCGCUCAUAUUUGGUUUACCGCUUCUCAUCUUCCCCUUUCCUCCGUUUCUUUUGCUCUGACUUGAAUCAACAUCAUCAUAGUUGUUGCAAAUCCUUUCAGCAGCGUGACUACUUUUUCUUUUCGGGGGAGGGAGGGAGGCGGACGAGGGUGGGGGCUGAUGCUUUUUUCCAGCAUGUGAGUGAUGCUGUACUGGCAGCGUCUCAUUUUAAAUGCAAAAAAAAAAAGAAAAAAAGUGGUUGUGAAAAGAUGAGUUGUAACAAUGCCGUCCACAUGAAUUGUCCUUUUUUUCGGGGGUGGGGGGGGGGUCGGCACUUUUACGUGUGCCAAACGAUUUCAGAGUUAAGAAGCCUUUCUGCUUUGGAGAAGAUGCAACGCAUGUACAUGGAGUAUGCCAUCCAUUCAAAUUGCUCUGACAAAACGUUCUGCCACGACUGUUUGUUUUUGGGCAUCUCUCAAGUAAAUGAGUCACUUGAGUUGCGGUUCCAGAAGUAAGCCCUGUGUGCAACCGAGAACAAUUUGUUCAUAUUUAGUGAGGAUUUUUCAAGGAUUAAAAAAAAAACAUUUAUCAGCUGCCCCCUUCUCUGCCACAGCCCCCUUAGGUUAGAAACUGCUCUUCUGAUGUGUUAUCGGCUCCACACAGGCCCUUAUACUGUACAUUCGGUAAGGUUGAGUUAAGUGACAGAAAUAAACCCGGUGCCAAGUCAAAAGUCUCCAGACUAGUGUUUUUUUUUUUUUGGCCUUUGGAACACUUGACUAUAUAGUGCGGCUCUUCUAGAACAACGCUUAUUUACAUUUGAUGUCACAGCUUUAGGCUACAUUGUACUUGAUGUUGAAUGAACAGAAGCUGCAUAUCGGAUGCUGCGGGGCAUCGCAGGCAUUGUGACAUUGACUGAAUUAUACAUGUACCGUGGUAAUGUUGGAUCGUGCAAGUACUUUAGUAUGUAGCGCUCGUCGUGAAUAUUGAUCGUCGUCAUCAGUCUGCAAAAGUCAAUUUCGGUAUUUGACACGUUCAACGUGACUUGAACUCGACCUUCACGGGCUCUUUUACAAUUUAAUGGUGCACACAUCGUGUCACGGAAAAAAAACAACAACUAUUAGUUACUAGCUUGGCUGUAUGUGCGACUUUGUUUUGUCCAUAGCAUACCUUUAUUUUCUUUUUUCUGACACAGUAUUGACACCAAAGUAUUGUCAAUACAGUGAAGGAAAUGUUAUUCACCACUUAAUUCAAAAAUUGUAUUUCCAAUAAUAUAUUCUAUUCCACUCCAUGUGUCCAAACAUGUGGACUAAUAUGACUUGGGCAGCAAAAUUCACCUGUUUUUAUCCAUCUCAGGGGGGGGAGCGGCCAUUUUGUCACUUGUUGUCGACUAAAAAUGACAUCACAGUCGCCCAGGGCUCCGCAUGACUCGUGUGUUUUCUAAGCUCGGUAGAGGGCCGCAAACACAUUUCAAUUUUCAAAGCUGCACCCGCACGGUUGGCUGACAAUUGGGUUUAAUCAUCAGGGCAUAGAUCCAUCCCGCCUUGUAUCACUUGGCAGACUGACGUGGAGCAACAGUCAUUAUGUAACAAAGAUAUAUAUUGGGGGAGGGUGGGGGGUGGGGCACUUGAAAAGCGUGCCAAUAUGGUGGCAAAAUAGAGCAACGCAGCACGCCGCCGGCACAACACCGGACCUCCCCGCCAUUUUUGAAGUGCACUCCCACAAGACUUGCCGCGAGGUUAUCACUGCGGAUUGUGCCCUUUUGAACUCAUGCAAGUGCAGUGAUUGCCGUGCUGCUGAUAAAUAGUUUACUUUCAACCAUCUACUAUAUCAUUUGGGAUUUGUGAAUCUCAACCGAAUUGUUAAAUAUGCACUCGGUGUGCAUCCUCAAAGAGGUCCGAUAGCAACGCUGUGUACAAAAAAUAAAAAAUAAAAUCCAACAACAAUCUUUAGUCAGUUCUUCCAAACCCAUGAGCGAAUUCUCAGCAAUAUGUGUUGACUCGCUCACAAAAAUAUAUGUCCUUGGAUGUUGGAAGUAAAAGCACCCAACCCACACGUUCCCGCUCUCAGCCAAUAUUUCUUUGAUUGCCUAAUUGCUGCCAGUUUGCUCCAAAUGUCAGGCACAUCACUUGGCAUUCAUUUGCCGUGAGCUUAUGCCGUCAUCGUUUUGACAAAUUCCGCUCUCGCCCUUCCCCUACUGGACAAAACAGCCUUCCAAGUAAUAAACGCCGGGUUCGAGUGUAAUGUCUGCAUCAGUAGGCCUCUGAAGCCCAACACCCAGGAGUCAUAUGGGAUCAAAUCCACAUCAAAGCCUGGCCAAUGAUGUUAUAAAAGCCGCGCAACAAUAGAACAAUAAUUAAAGCCUCAUGGAUUUCCACAACAGUGUCGCACGCGCACGCGUGAACGCGCGCUGUAUAUCGCCGCUUCUCGUUGCGGUGAUUGAAAGAGCUCAGCCUGAUGCUUGUCACAACCUGACGCCAACCUUUUUGUCAAUCUUCUCACAUGCCGCUACCUGCCACACAAUACGCAAGCCGCCGUUGCCGUCCAUCUUGAAUGCGGUAAACAUAUUUGAAACACUCUCAUCCGCUAAGCGGUAGCUCAUUGGCUCAACAUCAAGCUGUCGUGAGCAGCAGCAAAACAUGAGACGCUGAGAUGAUUUUUGUUUUUUUGUUUUUUUGGAAGGCACUAUUUCAUGAGGCAAGCGUCAGAAUGUGCUUUUUGGACACAGGAGGCAUUUGCAUGAAUUGCUCGGCUCGCUCGACAAUAGCGCUUUAUUCAAAUAGCGUUUCUCUGCAGCUGCAACAAAGCAGUUUACAUAUGACAUAAAAUAACAAUACAACAACAAAAGAAAGUGAAAACAGUAAAUUAAUGACACCAACACACAAAUUGCAGACGCCAGAAAACCCCAGUUGCAUCUUAAAAUGAAGCCUAACAUGUUCUGGAAGCCAGUGAAGGUAGUAAACCAGGAUUAGGGCAAUGUGCUCCCUCUUCGGAGCUCCAGUUAGGAGGCGAGCAGCAGCAUUUUGGACCAACUGGAGACACUUGUGGGAGUACUAUCUGACUCCCAAAUGAAGUGCAUUACAUUCACCCAGCCGAGAUGUAAUGAAGGCAUUAUCAUGUCAUUAAUAUUCCAACUGAGCAAAAUGGUUUUGUUUUUUUGUUUUUUUUAAUCCCCAGAUUAGUCGUGAAAUACGAGUUCCUUCUAUUUUCCUUGGAUGGUUUGACAAAAGCAAAAUCUUAAUCUUCAAUAUUAAUACUGUUGAAUAGCAAUGUGAGGAUAUGGAUCGAUAUGUGAUUCUGCUUUUUUUUUUUUUUUUUUUUUACCUCUUCGGUAUCCACAUCGUCGGCGGCCUCAGUGGGUUCCGGCGCUUUCACGAACCACCACUGGAUCUCCAAAUAAACUGACGUGGUUCCGCUCUGGAACGCGCACGCCAUCUCUAUGUUUUGUCCCUCUUUAACCGUCAUGUUAGAGGGUAGAUCAGUGAAGCGACCUGCAGAAGAUGGUAGGGAGAUGCGUGGGGGCGGGAGUUGCGGAGAUAAUGAGUCAGGGGAAGAUGGAGACCAGGGGAAUGAGAGAAAGCGUUGUCGAGGUAAGUUGGUGAUGUCUGCAUGCAUAAAAACAAGCAGGAAUUAACUCCCGAGACAGUUUUAUUUUAUUUUUUUUAUUUUUUUAGGUCUCUGCCCCUCCCGUCUUCACAUCAAAACAGCUCAAUUGCUCAAUAACGCCACAUCGUAAAUUACAAGCCGUUCACUAUUUUUGCACGUCAUUGCACGUAUUGAUAGAGAGCAAGAGACAGACGUGACUUUUGGAGGGAGCCCGAAAGAAAUUUUGAAUAAAGAAAAACAGUAUAUCUGGCGGGGGGGGGGGGGGGGGGCGAUAUUUGUUUUUUGUUUUGUGUGUGUGUGUGUGUUUUUUUUUUUGCCGGGGCGUCUAAAAGGUCGUUGUACUUAAUGCCGUCAAGAAGCAGUGAGAAAGUGGAAUCCAAUGCAGUGUGAAGGGCAGGUGCUUUUCAGCACCUCGGACAGUGACAAUACGUGGCGACGAACAUUUUGCAUGAGGCAGAUUGAAAAUGUUCCUUCUGACUAAAAAAAAAAAGAGAUUUUGGGCUCGACGCGUGAAUACAUAUCAAGCAGUCACCAGUUGCAUUUUUUUGUUGGAGGGGGGGGGGCGGUUGACGACGUUGCCGGGACGUUUUUAUAACACAUCUCGCUACUAAGAUUUCCCGGUUUCCUCCAAAGAAACGCAAAAAAACCCCCCACUGCGCACUUUUUUUUCUUCAACAGUUUCUCAGCCCUUCGCAGCCUUUAAAAGUCUUACCUUCAAAGGAGAAUCCGAAAUGCACACAAAACCCAGCCAAGAAAAUAAAUCCAGCGGUAUCAUGAGAGGUCCACAUCAUUGCGCUGCCGAGAGCUUUCUUUACAUGAGCUGUAGAGGGCAAGAAAAGGCGGAGGGAAUAAAGCCAGCGAGGGGGGGUGGGCAAGGGAGCGGGGGGGGCAAUCAAACAGUUGCUGGGUCGGUGUUUUGAAACGGAGGCUGCCGCAGGUUGAACAUGCCGCAAACUAGCGGCCGCCGUUGCUCAACUUCUCGCCGUCCUUCUUUCUUUUCCGUGUGUGUUGCUGCGGCGUCUGUCGACUGCUCGGCUCGACUCCCAGUGUGCAAAAUAAGCAAGCGGCGAGCUGCGGGACUUGCUGUGCAACAGCGGAGAGACGUCAGUUAGUCUGCUGGUAAUUCACAGUGUGGCGUUCGCACUUUUUUUUUUUUUUUUUUUUUUUAAACC
Molecule: long non-coding RNA, 5738 nt
Organism: Hippocampus zosterae (dwarf seahorse)
Lineage: Eukaryota; Metazoa; Chordata; Actinopteri; Syngnathiformes; Syngnathidae
Exons: 2
Source: RefSeq, a predicted model, not a curated record